AUUGAACGCUGGCGGCAGGCCUAACACAUGCAAGUCGAGUGGAUGAAGGGAGCUUGCUCCUGGAUUCAGCGGCGGACGGGUGAGUAAUGCCUAGGAAUCUGCCUGAUAGUGGGGGAUAACGUCCGGAAACGGGCGCUAAUACCGCAUACGUCCUGAGGGAGAAAGUGGGGGAUCUUCGGACCUCACGCUAUCAGAUGAGCCUAGGUCGGAUUAGCUAGUUGGUGGGGUAAAGGCCUACCAAGGCGACGAUCCGUAACUGGUCUGAGAGGAUGAUCAGUCACAGUGGAAAUGAGAAACGGGACAGAACACCAGGGGGGGCAGAAGUGGGGAAUAUGGGAAAAGGGGGGAAAGCAUGAUCCAGCCAGGGGGUGGGGGGGAAGAAGGUCUUCGGAUUGUAAAGCACUUUAAGGUGGGAGGAAGGGAAAUAAGUUAAAACCUUGUUGUUUUGACGUGAAAAACAGAAAAAACAACGGACAACUUAGG
Molecule: ribosomal RNA, 483 nt
Filed under: uncultured bacterium
Lineage: Bacteria
Description: partial 16S ribosomal RNA
Rfam family: Bacterial small subunit ribosomal RNA
Source: RNAcentral